This 253-nucleotide ribosomal RNA is filed under the name uncultured bacterium. Its description in RNAcentral is "partial 16S ribosomal RNA". It matches the Rfam family "Bacterial small subunit ribosomal RNA", at positions 524 to 776 of the family's 1533-position model. The record is from RNAcentral.
UACGGAGGGAGCUAGCGUUGUUCGGAAUUACUGGGCGUAAAGCGCGCGUAGGCGGUUACUCAAGUCAGAGGUGAAAGCCCGGAGCUCAACUCCGGAACUGCCUUUGAAACUAGGUAACUAGAAUCUUGGAGAGGUCAGUGGAAUUCCGAGUGUAGAGGUGAAAUUCGUAGAUAUUCGGAAGAACACCAGUGGCGAAGGCGACUGACUGGACAAGUAUUGACGCUGAGGUGCGAAAGCGUGGGGAGCAAACAGG